This 922-nucleotide long non-coding RNA is filed under the name Mytilus galloprovincialis (Mediterranean mussel). The record is from RNAcentral. Lineage: Eukaryota; Metazoa; Mollusca; Bivalvia; Mytilida; Mytilidae.
GUUUGUAUAAUUAACACUGCACAAAUAUACACUUUUGAACAUAUUUUUUUAUGCAUGAACUUUAUAUGGCUAUCUGCUUUUAAUAUGCACUGCUUUCAUCUGUAGUAUAUGCACCUUCUGGUCCUUAGACACUCUCUGUAGUAUGCUAGCUAGCUUCUUGUAACAUAACUGCAUGGUGUGUGUUUUGUGUUUAUGCAUAUGGAUCACUAACCAGUCAAUCCAAGCACAGUGGAAACUUUACUUUUUGCUUUCUUUAAAAAAAACAUAUUUAUUCAAAGCAAAUAUAUAGAAUGUCCAGUGAGCUGAGCUGAAGGGAAUUAGAAAAAGACAAGAAGUAUAAAAAGUAUGAGAUUUGGAAUGAUUGCCAAUGAGACAGCCAUCCACCAAAUGCCAAGCAACAAACAAUUAAAUUUCUACAUGUCACCUUUUUAAUCAGAAUAAAUGGAACUUUUUGUAUGGUUUUAAUAUUAAUAAUCUCACUUUGUGCAUCGCUACAUCGUUCAAUGGCUUCUUGAUAUAGUUCCCUGAAUGUCCGACAUUUUGUUUGUGUUGCCGUAUUUUUUAAUAUGUAUGCCUUGUUGUUAUUUUUGUCUGAAUGUUUCACCACAGAAACAAUCAGCACGUUUUCCAUCUUUGCAACUUUUUUGAUCAGAAUCAAAAAUAUGCUUGACAAAUGACAAACACUGCAUAUUUUCAAACGCUUAAUUGAUAAAGAUUUUUUUUUAAUACCGGAAUCGAGUUCGUCGAAAAUGCGGAUUUAUUUUCGACGUGCGGGAAUUUUAUUUUUAUUUUUAUUUUUUUGUUUUGGCAGGUGAGGUGCGGGAAAUUUAUUUUUAUUUUUUUAUUUUAAUUUCGGCAAUUUAGGUGCGGGUUUUCCAAAGAACUACUAAUUAAUUUGGUGUGGCCUUAAAUAAAAAAUCAU